Molecule: long non-coding RNA, 445 nt
Organism: Papaver somniferum (opium poppy)
Lineage: Eukaryota; Viridiplantae; Streptophyta; Magnoliopsida; Ranunculales; Papaveraceae
Exons: 3
Source: RefSeq, a predicted model, not a curated record
GAUAUGUAUCUCAUUUGAAUGGUGCCUGUUAUCUGCUCAACUCAGGUGAAUUGGUUAUUUUACUUGUCUGUUAGUCAUUUUUCGAUCUGAACAACUGAACACACAAUGUUCUUAUGUGUUAGAUUGACCUGUGCAUAAUUUACUAACUAAUUUGUUUUGGUGAAAUAGUUAUUAGUAGAUCGACAAGCUGCAUCCAGAACUAUCCCGGCAUCAGCCAUUAGGAACUACCAGUCUUCGCACACUAUCUCCAAUUUUAAAGAUCCUACAAUAUUGGUUUAGGAUUCAAGACUCCCCGAGAAGCUACUGAAGGAAAAUCAUAGUGGGAGAUGAAACUUGGACAUUGUGGUUUGCAUUGUUAGUUUUCUUAUGGGAUCCUUUCCAGCCAACAACGGAAAUCAGAAUUACUACUUCAACUUCGAAUCCAGCAGAAUAAGAGUGGGAGAUG